AAAUUGAAGAGUUUGAUCAUGGCUCAGAUUGAACGCUGGCGGCAGGCCUAACACAUGCAAGUCGAACGGUAACAGAAAGCAGCUUGCUGCUUUGCUGACGAGUGGCGGACGGGUGAGUAAUGUCUGGGAAACUGCCUGAUGGAGGGGGAUAACUACUGGAAACGGUAGCUAAUACCGCAUAAUGUCGCAAGACCAAAGAGGGGGACCUUCGGGCCUCUUGCCAUCGGAUGUGCCCAGAUGGGAUUAGCUAGUAGGUGGGGUAACGGCUCACCUAGGCGACGAUCCCUAGCUGGUCUGAGAGGAUGACCAGCCAC
This 314-nucleotide ribosomal RNA is filed under the name Escherichia coli. RNAcentral describes it as "bacterial SSU rRNA". It matches the Rfam family "Bacterial small subunit ribosomal RNA", at positions 1 to 311 of the family's 1533-position model. Lineage: Bacteria; Pseudomonadati; Pseudomonadota; Gammaproteobacteria; Enterobacterales; Enterobacteriaceae. The record is from RNAcentral.